RNAcentral lists this ribosomal RNA (752 nucleotides) under uncultured bacterium. RNAcentral describes it as "SSU rRNA". It matches the Rfam family "Bacterial small subunit ribosomal RNA", at positions 643 to 1396 of the family's 1533-position model. The record is from RNAcentral.
AGAGUUUGAUAGAGGAAAGCAGAAUUUCUAGUGUAGAGGUGAAAUUCGUAGAUAUUAGAAAGAAUACCAAUUGCGAAGGCAGCUUUCUGGAUCAUUACUGACACUGAGGAACGAAAGCAUGGGUAGCGAAGAGGAUUAGAUACCCUCGUAGUCCAUGCCGUAAACGAUGUGUGUUAGACGUUGGAAAUUUAUUUUCAGUGUCGCAGCGAAAGCGAUAAACACACCGCCUGGGGAGUACGACCGCAAGGUUAAAACUCAAAUGAAUUGACGGGGACCCGCACAAGUAGUGGAGCAUGUGGUUUAAUUCGAAGAUACGCGCAGAACCUUACCAACACUUGACAUGUUCGUCGCGACUUUAAGAGAUUAAAGUUUUCGGUUCGGCCGGACGAAACACAGGUGCUGCAUGGCUGUCGUCAGCUCGUGUCGUGAGAUGUUGGGUUAAGUCCCGCAACGAGCGCAACCCUCACUUUUAGUUGCCAUCAUUAAGUUGGGCACUCUGAAAGAACUGCCAGUGAUAAGCUGGAGGAAGGUGGGGAUGACGUCAAGUCCUCAUGGCCCUUACGUGUUGGGCUACACACGUGCUACAAUGGUAUCUACAACAGGAAGCAAGACGGCGACGUUAAGCAAAUCCUUAAAAGAUACCUCAGUUCGGAUUGCACUCUGCAACUCGAGUGCAUGAAGCUGGAAUUACUAGUAAUCGUGGAUCAGCGUGCCACGGUGAAUGCGUUCCCGCGCCUUGCACACACCGCCCG